RNAcentral lists this ribosomal RNA (258 nucleotides) under uncultured prokaryote. RNAcentral describes it as "partial 16S ribosomal RNA". It matches the Rfam family "Bacterial small subunit ribosomal RNA", at positions 524 to 780 of the family's 1533-position model. The record is from RNAcentral.
UACGGAGGAUGCAAGCGUUAUCCGGAUUCAUUGGGUUUAAAGGGUGCGUAGGCGGACUAUUAAGUCAGUGGUGAAAGCCUGCAGCUUAACUGCGGAACUGCCAUUGAUACUGAUAGUCUUGAGUUUGGUUAAGGUAGGCGGAAUGUGUAAUGUAGCGGUGAAAUGCUUAGAUAUUACACAGAACACCAAUUGCGUAGGCAGCUUACUAAGCCGACACUGACGCUGAGGCACGAAAGCGUGGGGAGUCGAACAGGAUUA